This 528-nucleotide ribosomal RNA is filed under the name Pseudomonas sp. DW1. Its description in RNAcentral is "bacterial SSU rRNA". It matches the Rfam family "Bacterial small subunit ribosomal RNA", at positions 1 to 522 of the family's 1533-position model. The record is from RNAcentral. Lineage: Bacteria; Pseudomonadati; Pseudomonadota; Gammaproteobacteria; Pseudomonadales; Pseudomonadaceae.
UGGAGAGUUUGAUCCUGGCUCAGACUUGAACCCUGCGCCGCAGGCCUAACACACGCAAGUCGAGCGGUAGAGAGGUGCUUGCACCUCUUGAGAGCGGCGGACGGGUGAGUAAUACCUAGGAAUCUGCCUGGUAGUGGGGGAUAACGUUCGGAAACGGACGCUAAUACCGCAUACGUCCUACGGGAGAAAGCAGGGGACCUUCGGGCCUUGCGCUAUCAGAUGAGCCUAGGUCGGAUUAGCUAGUUGGUGAGGUAAUGGCUCACCAAGGCUACGAUCCGUAACUGGUCUGAGAGGAUGAUCAGUCACACUGGAACUGAGACACGGUCCAGACUCCUACGGGAGGCAGCAGUGGGGAAUAUUGGACAAUGGGCGAAAGCCUGAUCCAGCCAUGCCGCGUGUGUGAAGAAGGUCUUCGGAUUGUAAAGCACCUUAAGCUGGGAGGAAGGGCAUUACACCUAAUACGUUAGGUGUCUUGACGUUACCAACAGAAUAAGCGGACAGGAUAACUCUGUGCCAGCAGCCGCGGUA